RNAcentral lists this transfer RNA (87 nucleotides) under Ahrensia marina. Its description in RNAcentral is "tRNA-Leu". It matches the Rfam family "tRNA". From Rfam's summary of the family: Transfer RNA (tRNA) molecules are approximately 80 nucleotides in length. Their secondary structure includes four short double-helical elements and three loops (D, anti-codon, and T loops). The record is from RNAcentral. Lineage: Bacteria; Pseudomonadati; Pseudomonadota; Alphaproteobacteria; Hyphomicrobiales; Ahrensiaceae.
GCCCCCUUGGCGGAACUGGUAGACGCAAGGGACUUAAAAUCCCUCGAUCAUUAGAUCGUGCCGGUUCGAUUCCGGCAGGGGGCACCA